GAGGGGCAAGCCUAUACAUGCAAGUCGAGCGAAUGGAUUAAGAGCUUGCUCUUAUGAAGUUAGCGGCGGACGGGUGAGUAACACGUGGGUAACCUGCCCAUAAGACUGGGAUAACUCCGGGAAACCGGGGCUAAUACCGGAUAACAUUUUGAACUGCAUGGUUCGAAAUUGAAAGGCGGCUUCGGCUGUCACUUAUGGAUGGACCCGCGUCGCAUUAGCUAGUUGGUGAGGUAACGGCUCACCAAGGCAACGAUGCGUAGCCGACCUGAGAGGGUGAUCGGCCACACUGGGACUGAGACACGGCCCAGACUCCUACGGGAGGCAGCAGUAGGGAAUCUUCCGCAAUGGACGAAAGUCUGACGGAGCAACGCCGCGUGAGUGAUGAAGGCUUUCGGGUCGUAAAACUCUGUUGUUAGGGAAGAACAAGUGCUAGUUGAAUAAGCUGGCACCUUGACGGUACCUAACCAGAAAGCCACGGCUAACUACGUGCCAGCAGCCGCGGUAAUACGUAGGUGGCAAGCGUUAUCCGGAAUUAUUGGGCGUAAAGCGCGCGCAGGUGGUUUCUUAAGUCUGAUGUGAAAGCCCACGGCUCAACCGUGGAGGGUCAUUGGAAACUGGGAGACUUGAGUGCAGAAGAGGAAAGUGGAAUUCCAUGUGUAGCGGUGAAAUGCGUAGAGAUAUGGAGGAACACCAGUGGCGAAGGCGACUUUCUGGUCUGUAACUGACACUGAGGCGCGAAAGCAUUCACAGCAACAACG
RNAcentral lists this ribosomal RNA (758 nucleotides) under Bacillus anthracis (anthrax bacterium). Its description in RNAcentral is "bacterial SSU rRNA". It matches the Rfam family "Bacterial small subunit ribosomal RNA", at positions 37 to 776 of the family's 1533-position model. The record is from RNAcentral. Lineage: Bacteria; Bacillati; Bacillota; Bacilli; Caryophanales; Bacillaceae.